This is a long non-coding RNA of Leptidea sinapis, 463 nucleotides long. RefSeq lists it as uncharacterized. NCBI's taxonomy places the organism in Eukaryota, Metazoa, Arthropoda, Insecta, Lepidoptera, Pieridae. The transcript is spliced from 4 exons. The record is from RefSeq and is a predicted model, not a curated record.
GUGUAAAUACGGGCAAUGCCUACAUAUAUGUAAAUAGCAUUUAGAAAAACAUUUCAAUUGCAGUGCAUCGUCAUGAUUAAGUAUUUGUGUUUUUUGUUAGUUAGUUAUGUUUUCUGUAACGGAGAUUUGGAUUCCAACGCUCAAGUCUAUAAUGAGUUGCCUUGUCUUCUCGCUAAUGGAGUUUGCACCAAAGGUUCUUGUCCAUCAAAAACUCUAGAGGGCUUUUGUCCUACACAACAAUCAAGCGAGGUAGAAUGCUGCGUGUCUUUAUCAGCAAAUCCGUGCCACAAUCAUCAAGGCGCAUGUCUGCCCAAGGAAUACAACUGUCCAACAAUAUUGACAUUCAACGAUGCCGAUGAUUGCGCAGAUGAUGAAAAAUGCUGUAUAUUAGUUCACUGAAUAAAAUAUAAUCAUUAUUUUCAAUAUUGUUGUAUAUAAUAUAUCAUAAAAAUUAAUUCAAAUU